CUACGGGGUGCUGCGGUCGAGAAUCUUCGGCAAUGGACGCAAGUCUGACCGAGCGACGCCGCGUGCGGGAUGAAGGCCUUCGGGUUGUAAACCGCUGUCAGUUGGGAGGAAAUUCUUGGGGGUUCUCCCCCUUGAUUGACCUAUCUUCAGAGGAAGUGCGGGCUAAGUUCGUGCCAGCAGCCGCGGUAAGACGAACCGCACAAACGUUAUUCGGAAGCACUGGGCUUAAAGGGUGCGUAGGCGGUCAUGCAAGUUGGGUGUGAAAUCCCUCGGCUCAACCGAGGAACUGCGCUCAAAACUGCAUGACUUGAGGGAGAUAGAGGUGAGCGGAACUUAGGGUGGAGCGGUGAAAUGCGUUGAUAUCCUAAGGAACACCAGUUGCGAAAGCGGCUCACUGGGUCUCUUCUGACGCUGAGGCACGAAAGCUAGGGGAGCGAAGAGGAUUAGAUACCCGUGUAGUC
This 461-nucleotide ribosomal RNA is filed under the name uncultured bacterium. RNAcentral's name for it is "partial 16S ribosomal RNA". It matches the Rfam family "Bacterial small subunit ribosomal RNA", at positions 339 to 795 of the family's 1533-position model. The record is from RNAcentral.